CUACGGGAGGCAGCAGUAGGAAUCUUCCACAAUGGACGAAAGUCUGAUGGAGAAACGCCGCGUGAGUGAAGAAGGUUUUCGGAUCGUAAAACUCUGUUGUUGGAGAAGAAUGUAUCUGAUAGUAACUGAUCAGGUAGUGACGGUAUCCAACCAGAAAGCCACGGCUAACUACGUGCCAGCAGCCGCGGUAAUACGUAGGUGGCAAGCGUUGUCCGGAUUUAUUGGGCGUAAAGCGAGCGCAGGCGGUUUCUUAAGUCUGAUGUGAAAGCCUUCGGCUCAACCGAAGAAGUGCAUCGGAAACUGGGAAACUUGAGUGCAGAAGAGGACAGUGGAACUCCAUGUGUAGCGGUGAAAUGCGUAGAUAUAUGGAAGAACACCAGUGGCGAAGGCGGCUGUCUGGUCUGUAACUGACGCUGAGGCUCGAAAGCAUGGGUAGCAAACAGGAUUAGAUACCCUGGUAGUCCAUGCCGUAAACGAUGAGUGCUAGGUGUUGGAGGGUUUCCGCCCUUCAGUGCCGCAGCUAACGCAUUAAGCACUCCGCCUGGGGAGUACGACCGCAAGGUUGAAACUCAAAGGAAUUGACGGGGGCCCGCACAAGCGGUGGAGCAUGUGGUUUAAUUCGAAGCAACGCGAAGAACCUUACCAGGUCUUGACAUCCUUUGACCACUCUAGAGAUAGAGCUUUCCCUUCGGGGACAAAGUGACAGGUGGUGCAUGGUUGUCGUCAGCUCGUGUCGUGAGAUGUUGGGUUAAGUCCCGCAACGAGCGCAACCCUUAUUACUAGUUGCCAGCAUUAAGUUGGGCACUCUAGUGAGACUGCCGGUGACAAACCGGAGGAAGGUGGGGACGACGUCAAAUCAUCAUGCCCCUUAUGACCUGGGCUACACACGUGCUACAAUGGAUGGUACAACGAGUUGCGAGACCGCGAGGUUUAGCUAAUCUCUUAAAACCAUUCUCAGUUCGGAUUGUAGGCUGCAACUCGCCUACAUGAAGCCGGAAUCGCUAGUAAUCGCGGAUCAGCAUGCCGCGGUGAAUACGUUCCCGGGCCUUGUACACACCGCCCGUCACACCAUGAGAGUUUGUAACACCCAAAGCCGGUGAGGUAACCCUUCGGGGAGCCAGCCGUCUAAG
This 1130-nucleotide ribosomal RNA is filed under the name Latilactobacillus sakei. RNAcentral's name for it is "bacterial SSU rRNA". It matches the Rfam family "Bacterial small subunit ribosomal RNA", at positions 339 to 1461 of the family's 1533-position model. The record is from RNAcentral. Lineage: Bacteria; Bacillati; Bacillota; Bacilli; Lactobacillales; Lactobacillaceae.